CCUACGGGUUGCACCAGUGGGGAAUAUUGCACAAUGGGCGCAAGCCUGAUGCAGCCAUGCCGCGUGUAUGAAGAAGGCCUUAGGGUUGUAAAGUACUUUCAGUUGGGAGGAAGGCGUUGAUGCUAAUAUCAUCAACGAUUGACGUUACCAACAGAAGAGGCACCGGCUAACUCCGUGCCAGCAGCCGCGGUAAUACGGAGGGUGCAAGCGUUAAUCGGAAUUACCGGGCGCAAAGCGCACGCAGGCGGUUGAUUAAGUUAGAUGUGAAAUCCCCGGGCUUAACCUGGGAAUGGCAUCUAAGACUGGUCAGCUAGAGUCUUGUAGAGGGGGGUAGAAUUCCAUGUGUAGCGGUGAAAUGCGUAGAGAUCUGGAGGAAUACCGGAGGCGAAGGCGGCCCCCUGGACAAAGACUGACGCUCAGGUGCGAAGGCGUGGGGAGCAAACAGGAUUAGAUACCCCAGUAGUC
RNAcentral lists this ribosomal RNA (465 nucleotides) under uncultured bacterium. Its description in RNAcentral is "bacterial SSU rRNA". It matches the Rfam family "Bacterial small subunit ribosomal RNA", at positions 338 to 795 of the family's 1533-position model. The record is from RNAcentral.